Molecule: unclassified non-coding RNA, 200 nt
Filed under: soil metagenome
Description: partial contains internal transcribed spacer 2 and large subunit ribosomal RNA
Source: RNAcentral
CUGUUCGAGCGUCAUUACAACCCUCAAGCACUGCUUGGUAUUGGGCUCCGCUGGUCUCAGCGGGCCUUAAAAUCAGUGGCGGCGCGUCUGGGCUCUGAGCGUAGUAAAUAUCCUCGCUAUAGAGACCAGAUGGUUCUUGUCAUCAACCCCAACUUUCUAAGUUUGACCUCGGAUCAGGUAGGGAUACCCGCUGAACUUAA